Molecule: ribosomal RNA, 431 nt
Filed under: uncultured bacterium
Lineage: Bacteria
Description: partial 16S ribosomal RNA
Rfam family: Bacterial small subunit ribosomal RNA
Source: RNAcentral
AACGAACGCUGGCGGCAGGCUUAACACAUGCAAGUCGAGCGCCCCGCAAGGGGAGCGGCAGACGGGUGCGUAACGCGUGGGAACGUACCUUUUGGUUCGGAACAACUCCGGGAAACUGGAGCUAAUACCGGAUAAGCCCUAACGGGGAAAGAUUUAUCGCCGAAAGAUCGGCCCGCGUCUGAUUAGCUAGUUGGUGAGGUAACGGCUCACCAAGGCGACGAUCAGUAGCUGGUCUGAGAGGAUGAUCAGCCACACUGGGACUGAGACACGGCCCAGACUCCUACGGGAGGCAGCAGUGGGGAAUAUUGGACAAUGGGUGCAAGCCUGAUCCAGCCAUGCCGCGUGAGUGAUGAAGGCCUUAGGGUUGUAAAGCUCUUUUGUCCGGGAAGAUAAUGACUGUACCGGAAGAAUAAGCCCCGGCUAACUUCGUG